AUGGCGCCGAGCGCAAGCCCUAGCCCGGGCCUAGCGGUUACGGCGCCGGUCCACCAGGCCCGCGUGCGGGUGCUCCACCCGGGGCAGGGCCUGCCCCCCGCUGGCGCGAAGCCCGGCCCGGUGGUCUACUGGAUGCUGCGGGACCAGCGGCUAGCCGACAACUGGGCGCUCCUCCACGCGGCGAGCCUCGCCGCCGCUUCCGCGGCGCCGCUCGCCGUCGCGUUCUCCCUGUUCCCGAAGCCGUUCCUCCUCUCCGCGCGCCGCCGCCAACUCGGAUUCCUCCUCCGUGGCCUCCGCCGGCUCGCCGCCGACGCCGCCACCCGCCGCAUCCCCUUCUUCCUCCUUACCGGUGGGCCCAUGGAGAUACCAGCGCUGGUGCAGCGGCUCGGGGCGUCGGCGCUGGUUGCCGACUUCUCACCGCUCCGGCCGGUUCGCGAGGCACUGGACGCAGUAGUCGGCGCGCUGUGCCGCGAUGCUGCCAGUGUGGCCGUUCACCAGGUGGACGCCCACAACGUGGUGCCGGUAUGGGCGGCAUCGGGGAAGCUGGAGUACUCUGCCAAGACCUUCAGAAGCAAGAUGAACAAGGUGUUGGACGAGUACCUGGUCGACUUCCCCGAGUUUGCAGAGGUGGUGCCAUGGGACAGGGACCAACCAAAGGACAUUGAUUGGGAUACGCUAAUUGACACGGUUUGCAGCCAGGCAGAGGACGUGCCAGAGAUUGACUGGUGUGAGCCAGGCGAGGCGGCAGCAAUGGAGGCACUUCUGGGUACCAAGGAUGGGUUCCUAACGGAGAGGAUCAAGAGCUAUGAUUCGGACCGGAAUUAUCCCACAAAGCCAACGGCAUUGUCCGGCCUCUCUCCCUACCUGCAUUUUGGGCAUAUUUCAGCACAAAGAUGUGCUCUCGAGGCAAAAAAACGUCGCCAUCUUAGUCCCAAGUCAGUGGAUGCUUUCUUGGAGGAGCUGAUAAUAAGGAGAGAGCUAGCCGACAACUUCUGCUACUAUCAGCCUCACUAUGAUUCGGUAGCCGGGGCUUGGGAGUGGGCGAGGAAGACACUGAAGGAUCAUGCUGCCGACAAAAGAGAGCACAUUUACACGAGGGAGCAGCUUGAGAAUGCAAAAACAGCUGAUCCUCUCUGGAAUGCAUCACAGUUGGAGAUGGUCCACCAUGGAAAAAUGCAUGGAUUCAUGCGAAUGUAUUGGGCCAAAAAAAUUCUAGAAUGGACCAGUGGACCUGAAGAAGCACUUUCAAUAGCAAUAUAUUUGAAUGACAAGUAUCACAUAGACGGCAGGGACCCCAAUGGCUAUGUUGGUUGCAUGUGGUCUAUCUGUGGCCUCCAUGAUCAGGGUUGGAAGGAGCGUCUGGUAUUUGGAAAGAUACGUUACAUGAAUUAUGCUGGUUGCAAGAGAAAAUUCAACGUCGAUGCCUACAUUUCUUACGUCAAAAGAUUGGUUGCUCAACCCAAGAAAAGGAAACCGGAGGAAUCUCUGAAUUCAGCAGCCAAGUACUCGAAGUCUGAGAAGGACUAG
This 1527-nucleotide ribosomal RNA is filed under the name Triticum aestivum (bread wheat). RNAcentral's name for it is "partial small subunit ribosomal RNA". The record is from RNAcentral. Lineage: Eukaryota; Viridiplantae; Streptophyta; Magnoliopsida; Poales; Poaceae.